AAACCAGGCACCACCCAGGAGGGCACUCACGCCUAAGAAAUUGGAGGCAGUCGGAAACGCCUUCAGCAAGUAAAUUGCUGGGAGACCUAGAGAAACGGCACCAAUGGAGAGGUUAAGAAAAAUGAACAGAUUCAUUGCCGAAAUGUUGAACGACCUAAAUAAAUGAGUCGUCAAAACAUUA
Rhipicephalus microplus (southern cattle tick) is the source of this 181-nucleotide long non-coding RNA. NCBI's taxonomy places the organism in Eukaryota, Metazoa, Arthropoda, Arachnida, Ixodida, Ixodidae. The record is from RefSeq and is a predicted model, not a curated record.